GACGAACGCUGGCGGCGUGCCUAAUACAUGCAAGUCGAACGAACCGCGACUAAGUGCUUGCACUAAGUCAAGGUGAGUGGCGAACGGGUGAGUAACACGUGGGUAACCUACCUUAUAGUGGGGGAUAACAGUCGGAAACGACUGCUAAUACCGCAUAGGACAUAGGAUCACAUGAUUCAGUGAGAAAAGGUGGCGCAAGCUAUCGCUAAGAGAUGGACCCGCGGUGCAUUAGCUAGUUGGUAGGGUAACGGCCUACCAAGGCGAUGAUGCAUAGCCGACCUGAGAGGGUGAUCGGCCACAUUGGGACUGAGACACGGCCCAAACUCCUACGGGAGGCAGCAGUAGGGAAUCUUCCGCAAUGGACGCAAGUCUGACGGAGCAACGCCGCGUGAGUGAAGAAGGUCUUCGGAUCGUAAAGCUCUGUUGUUAGAGAAGAACAGCGCAUAGAGUAACUGUUAUGCGUGUGACG
RNAcentral lists this ribosomal RNA (469 nucleotides) under Abiotrophia defectiva. RNAcentral describes it as "bacterial SSU rRNA". It matches the Rfam family "Bacterial small subunit ribosomal RNA", at positions 28 to 474 of the family's 1533-position model. The record is from RNAcentral. Lineage: Bacteria; Bacillati; Bacillota; Bacilli; Lactobacillales; Aerococcaceae.